This 535-nucleotide long non-coding RNA is filed under the name Monodelphis domestica (gray short-tailed opossum). Its description in RNAcentral is "lncRNA (ENSMODG00000040459.1)". Lineage: Eukaryota; Metazoa; Chordata; Mammalia; Didelphimorphia; Didelphidae. The record is from RNAcentral.
AGAACAAAGAACUUUGGAGAUAGAGGGAGGAGUGAGCUGAUCCAGGAGUUGAAAAACUGAUUUCUGUCUGAAAACACACACCAGAGAGGUUGGCUCCAGUUAAUAAGACUCAGGAACUGACUCAAACUGUUACUAGAGGGAAACUUGAGAUUGAGGGGGAGAGAAGUGACAUUUCUCUCCCCAGGAAGAAAAGAGGCUUAUCACCACAAGCCUCUUCAAGGAGAUCCUUCAGAGAACCCAGCAGUCAUCACAGUUCACUGAUAAAGCAAAACUCAAGGAACUGGCAAUGGCUCAGGAUAUGAUGGAUGACCCUGAUGUCUUUGAUGUCUUCCCAAUCUGCAUUUGUAAAAGCUUAUAUAAAAGAAUUGUAGAAGAUUAUGAAUAGCAUCAUCAAAGAGCAAGAAGUUAUAGAAGGAAAAGGAAGUUUAAAGAUCUUGGACGGAGGCCCAAUUAAGCAAAAUGAAAUCAAGGGCAUUAAAGGAUGAAAAGUAGAGAAACACACUCACAUACCACCACCACUCCCCACACACAGAUU